AUUUAUAUAGUUUAAUAAAACAUUACAUUUUCAUUGUAAAAUUAAAGAAUCUUCUUUUAUAAAUU
Molecule: transfer RNA, 65 nt
Filed under: Neurigona zhejiangensis
Lineage: Eukaryota; Metazoa; Arthropoda; Insecta; Diptera; Dolichopodidae
Description: tRNA-Glu
Rfam family: tRNA
About the family: Transfer RNA (tRNA) molecules are approximately 80 nucleotides in length. Their secondary structure includes four short double-helical elements and three loops (D, anti-codon, and T loops). Further hydrogen bonds mediate the characteristic L-shaped molecular structure. tRNAs have two regions of fundamental functional importance: the anti-codon, which is responsible for specific mRNA codon recognition, and the 3' end, to which the tRNAs corresponding amino acid is attached (by aminoacyl-tRNA synthetases). tRNAs cope with the degeneracy of the genetic code in two manners: having more than one tRNA (with a specific anti-codon) for a particular amino acid; and 'wobble' base-pairing, i.e. permitting non-standard base-pairing at the 3rd anti-codon position.
Source: RNAcentral